GAUGAACGCUAGCUACAGGCUUAACACAUGCAAGUCGAGGGGCAGCAUGAACUUAGCUUGCUAAGUUUGAUGGCGACCGGCGCACGGGUGAGUAACACGUAUCCAACCUUCCGUUUACUCAGGGAUAGCCUUUCGAAAGAAAGAUUAAUACCUGAUAGUAUGGUGAGAUUGCAUGAUAGCACCAUUAAAGAUUUAUUGGUAAACGAUGGGGAUGCGUUCCAUUAGGUAGUAGGCGGGGUAACGGCCCACCUAGCCGACGAUGGAUAGGGGUUCUGAGAGGAAGGUCCCCCACAUUGGAACUGAGACACGGUCCAAACUCCUACGGGAGGCAGCAGUGAGGAAUAUUGGUCAAAUGGGCGAGAGCCUGAACCAGCCAAGUAGCGUGAAGGAUGAAGGUCCUACGGAUUGUAAAACUUCUUUUAUACGGGAAUAAAGUAUCCUACGUGUAGGAUUUUGUAUGUACCGUAUGAAUAAGGAUCGGCUAACUCCGUGCCAGCAGCCGCGGU
This 506-nucleotide ribosomal RNA is filed under the name uncultured bacterium. RNAcentral describes it as "bacterial SSU rRNA". It matches the Rfam family "Bacterial small subunit ribosomal RNA", at positions 28 to 521 of the family's 1533-position model. The record is from RNAcentral.